This 1209-nucleotide long non-coding RNA is filed under the name Anas platyrhynchos platyrhynchos (common mallard). RNAcentral describes it as "lncRNA (ENSAPLG00000024863.1)". Lineage: Eukaryota; Metazoa; Chordata; Aves; Anseriformes; Anatidae. The record is from RNAcentral.
AGAAAUAGCAAACCAUCCAGCUGCUGUUGUGUCCCCAAUGAAGGCUCUUCCAUUUACACUGUGGCACAGAGAUGCAUUCCUGCCUGCCUGGGGUACCUCCAUGCAUGUGACCAUAUCACCACUGGGCCUUUUGACCUUCUGUACUGGAAACUUUCUUUUCGAUCCCAUACAUCCUCAUAGGUUCCUGGGCAGGAUAUUCACAGGAACCCAGAAUUAUGAUUCUAUGCCUGGCAAAACAACUCCAGUAUACUCAGCUUGUUGCAUAAACCUGCAUAAAUUCACUGCAGGAACAAGACAGUCUUCCAUUACCUGGUGGCAGUGGAUGUCAUUUGCUGGCAAUCCUCCCAUGGAAGUGGCUCAGAAAGCACCAUCAGGCUGCUGAGGCCAAAACCACGGUGUCCUGGGGCUGGGGGCCUGUGAGGUGGGGUGCGGAUAGGAUUUCGUUGCUGUGGAUGUUUUGGGAUUUGGGGGUUAAACCUUUGGAGGUUUAAUCCUUUGGUGGAGGGAUCCUUUGAAUCAGAGCCCAGCAUUUGCCUAGGGCAUGGCUCAACCACUGGGCUACAAUAUAAAAUACAGGACACCUAACACCUAAUCGUUGUUUAGGUUAUAAACUUAUGCAACUAUUAGCUGCUGGGUGGGACAGGACACCUGACAUCAUGGACUCUGUGUUUUCAAGCUCUCACCCCAUCUGACAAAAUUCUUAACACAUUUCAGUUUUACACCUCAAUUCUUAACUUGUUCAGGUGCAGAACAGGAUGUGAAUUGACUGAACAGCACUUGUGAGCAUCAUUAUCUGGUUGAUGAACCAGGUUCCUUCUUGAGAAAGAAGUGCUGGAACUGCAACCAGCCAACCACUGCUGAAGUAUUUUCUAUGUAAUUUCUAUUUGAAAUAUUCUUUUCAGUCCUACUGUUUCCUCUCCUACGGUCUGAUAGACCCAAAUCUGUCUUCAGUUUUGCUAUUGCUUUAGAUAUUUCUAUUCCCAUUCUCACUGUAUCCAUGAUGCUUUUUCUGCUUUUGAAAAGAUUCUGCCCCAUCCUAUCAGACUGUUAUUUUGUGAUGCUUUCCUGUUUACAUUUAUAUCUUUCAGAUCAAUCUCCACUUACUUGAACAACAGCUUCCCUUCAAAUCAUAGUGCAGGCAUCCCUGUGUGCAGGGGAAGGAAUUUAUCAUUCAAAUAAACAUGAAGAAAUGCUUUUAUUUCCUAAUCA